GCUGGGUAUGGUGGCGCAUGCCUGUAAUCCCAGCUACUCGGGAGGCUGAGGCAGGAGAAUUGCCUGAACCCGGGAGAUGGAGGUUGCGGUGAGCCGAGAUCGCGCCAUUGCACUCCAGCCUGUCUAACAAGCAAAACUCCGUCUCACCAAAAAAAAAAAAAAAAAAAAAAAAAAACAAGCGGAUGCUCUGGGUUCUUUCUUUCUUUUUUGAGACGGAGUUUUGCUCUUGUUACCCAGGCUGGAGUGCAAUGGUGCAAUCUCGGCUCACCACAACCUCUGCCUGCCGGGUUCAGGCAAUUCUUCUGCCUCA
Molecule: signal recognition particle RNA, 310 nt
Filed under: Saimiri boliviensis boliviensis (Bolivian squirrel monkey)
Lineage: Eukaryota; Metazoa; Chordata; Mammalia; Primates; Cebidae
Description: Metazoan signal recognition particle RNA (ENSSBOG00000006647.1)
Rfam family: Metazoan signal recognition particle RNA
About the family: The signal recognition particle (SRP) is a universally conserved ribonucleoprotein. It is involved in the co-translational targeting of proteins to membranes.
Source: RNAcentral